AUGCAGAUUGUUGCCACUCCAGCACCAAACCAAAUGUUUGCAGGUACAUCUUCAAGGACUUCUCCAGUUAGCCUCAACCGCCAGAUGUCUGCUGUCGAGCUUGACAUUAGGGAGGAGAUAGAGGAGGCGGCUAUCAACCUCAACGUCACUAUGUCACAGGGAUCAUUUAGCACACAGCCUCAGCCAAAGAGGGUGGUGAGGCCUGGGAAAUAUGCAAGGUCUCCCUUUGUAAUGGGUAAUGACCCUCCUACUAGAGCUCCAGCGAAUGUAGUGCAGAUAUACAAGCUAUUCUAUAGGGAGAACGCGAACAAGCUAAAAGACAUGUGGAUUAUCAGCAUCAACCCAAAAUACAUGGACAUCAGUGGGGAGCGGCUCCGUGAGAUGCUACGCGAUGGUGGUGAGGUGGAUAGUGUGCUGAUGACAUUGGUGAUGAGAAGGUACCAACAGAUGGAUGCGGUCUUUGCUGCUACAAAAGGGGAAGGAUGUUGGUGA
This 492-nucleotide ribosomal RNA is filed under the name Triticum aestivum (bread wheat). Its description in RNAcentral is "partial small subunit ribosomal RNA". Lineage: Eukaryota; Viridiplantae; Streptophyta; Magnoliopsida; Poales; Poaceae. The record is from RNAcentral.